This 178-nucleotide ribosomal RNA is filed under the name uncultured bacterium. RNAcentral's name for it is "partial 16S ribosomal RNA". It matches the Rfam family "Bacterial small subunit ribosomal RNA", at positions 338 to 508 of the family's 1533-position model. The record is from RNAcentral.
CCUACGGGAGGCAGCAGUGAGGAAUAUUGGACAAUGGGCGCAAGCCUGAUCCAGCGACGCCGCGUGAGUGAUGAAGGCCUUUGGGUCGUAAAGCUCUGUCAGCAGGGAAGAACGGCCGUGCGGAUAAUACCCGUAGGGAUUGACGGUACCUGCAGAGGAAGCACCGCUUACUCCGUGG